GGCAGCCAGCUGCCUCCUCUCCUCUCCCCGGCAGCACCUCACCCAACCCAGCCCUGAUGGAGGGGUGGGAGGAGAGAGAGAGGGGUGCUCCUGGGGAGGAGGGAGAAAGGAGUGGGUGCUCCGUGGGGCAGGGGGGAGAAGAAUGGAUGUUAUGGGGCACAUCAAAGGAUACUGGUUCCAGAGCCACAGAGCCUGCCUCACCUGACCUCAGCCGGGGGGAAAGAGUCACACUCACAGGGCUUCCUUAUGAGUAGCUUUCAGUGCCUCUAUUAAUUUAGACUUAAGAGACGAAUUGAUAGAUCUGUUCAGAAGGAGUUCAGUCUCAAUAUUCUCUGGUGGGGAUCAAGGAGAUCUUUGCUACAAUUUAUGGUUCAAUUUUGUCUCUAGUACAACUCUGAUUGCUUGGAAGUAGGAUGUUGCUUAGCAUGGCCAAGCUCUGGUUUUAUCUUCAGGAGAGGACCUUUAGUGGUAUGAACAUUAACAUGAAAAGAAAGGUCAGAAAUAAUGAGUGAUGCAUUUGUGGCUGCAACAUACAGGAUAUUGUUAUACAUUAGCCAAGAAUAGUACUUGCAUCAAUAUUACCUUCAGUUUACAAUGAACACACAGGUUAGAAUCCACCUGUGUGUUAUAAAAUUAAGCUGGAGUGUAGAGGAGUGGACUCACCCCUGCAGCGCCUCCUGCUGG
Gopherus flavomarginatus (Mexican gopher tortoise) is the source of this 684-nucleotide long non-coding RNA. RefSeq lists it as uncharacterized. NCBI's taxonomy places the organism in Eukaryota, Metazoa, Chordata, Testudines, Testudinidae. The transcript is spliced from 3 exons. The record is from RefSeq and is a predicted model, not a curated record.